Molecule: long non-coding RNA, 401 nt
Filed under: Olea europaea subsp. europaea
Lineage: Eukaryota; Viridiplantae; Streptophyta; Magnoliopsida; Lamiales; Oleaceae
Source: RNAcentral
GUCAUGUUCCAAAGUUGUCCACCAACUUAAUAUCCAUUCAAAAGCUCACACAUGAAAUGAAUUGUAAUGUUAUUUUUAAUCCUUCUCAUUGUGUUUUUCAGAACCGAUCAGGUUUCGGAGAAGAAGAUUGGACUUGCUAAGGAAAGAAAUGGGCUCUACUAUCUUGAAGAAUCAAGCAAAUCACAUAUGGUCAAGAACAAUUUAUCUAUGUUAUUUCUUUCAUCAUCCAAUAAAGACACUAUUUUGCUUCAUAAUCUUAGACUAGGGCACCCAUCUUUUGGAAUUUUGAAAACUACGUUCCCUACUUUGUUUAGAAAUCUAGGUGCUGAACAAUUUCAUUGUGAUGCAUGUGAAUUUGCUAAACAUAAACGUGUACCUUUUCCAAUCAGCAAUAAGAAAAG